CAUUUAAUUUCUGGAGUUUUCCCAACGCACCGAAAUAAAAUAAAAUCCUCGAAUCGUUUCCGAUUGCUCGCAAAUGUUUCGCUUCUACGAACUCUACUCGCUGUACCUGAAGAAAAUGUCCCGUUUCGGAACAACGCCGACUUGGUGUCUAUGCGAGAAACUGCCGCGGUCAAUCCUGCACAUUGCUCCGACUCCCGAUGUUUGGUGCAAGGUGUGCGGACGACGUCGUCGACCACGCGCUUACGCCAGCUCCUCCAGCGAUGAGGAGGAGAAAGCAGCGGAGCGACGUCGUGCCGAGGAGGAAAAGGCGCAGCCGGGCUUAGUGCACGCCAAGAAGCCACAACUCAAGUCAGUGGCAAAAUGCAGAUACAGCAACAAUAAAGUUAAUGUGGGUCGCACUGGACAUUAUCGCAAGCCGCAGAGGAUGCAGCCCAAAGGCAAGGAUGGAGAUGAUCCAGCCACAGGAAAUUUGCUAGAAAUUGACGCGGAGGCAAAGGCAUCCACACCGCCAGCAUCGACACCAGCUCGGAAAACGACCGAAUCCUUGUGGCAUCUAUCCAGCAGUGAUAUGCCCAACCUGGAGGCGAUUGCACCCGAUAUAGUCAAUCGACCGGUGCAUCUGCGCCAGCGUCAGCCCGUCCAACAUGAACAGAUCUUUUACAGCGAAUUUAUACCACUGAAUCAUCCCAUUACGAAUGUGGCAAGUGGCGCCAUCUCCAAGCGGCAACGUCACGUCUUUGGACGACCUUUACCUCGACACUGCAGCCGUCCGCUGCCGCCGCUCUCCGAGAUUCCAACCCGGCAGCAGAUAGUGCGAGCCAAAGGCGGCGGCUUGGCGUCUAAAGAUAUUCAUGUCGCUGAUGCAGUCAGUCAGUUCGAACCAUUUGACAGCUACGAUGGACCCUCGGAGGAUGCGCUGGUUGUGGACAGCGCCUGGCUUGUGCUGCAUCAGUCCAACGCAUCGCAGAUGGCGCAGCGAAUGUAUUUGCCACGCACACAACACUUCGAGUUGGAACCAAGCAGCAGCAGCAACUCCACAUCGUCACCCUUUGACGAGCCCACAGCUCCGCCGGCAGAUCCUCAGGCCGCUACUGUGAUCGCUCCAUUGCAGCCGGACAGCAGUGCAUCCAGCAGCAAUUCGAGCAACAGCAGCAGUCUGAAAUGCUCCACUCCCCGACCAGAGUCGGCCUGCAGUCGUGGCGGAGAGGUGCCCGCCUACGACGAUCUGCUGGCCAUUGAGGGUACGGAUAAAAUGUUGUGGAACACACCAACGAAUCCAAUAAUUAAGAACGAAAUGACUGAGCUAACCCUAAUGACCGAACAGGACAAACCCGCUGAAAGCCAUCAAUCAGCCUCCGUUCAAGUAAUCACCGAAGCCGGCGACAGACAAGACAAGACUCCAACGAAAAACGUUGAAGAAGACACUCCUUUGUCAGAUCCAAAUCAUUCCAAUGACAUGUCAAAUGAAUUGCCUUUAAAUUCUUCAAAUAAAUCAGCAGGUGAUGCAAAGUAUUUCAAGCGUUUUCCCAAAAACGGAAACAAUUCCAAAGUAUGCCGCAAACUUCGUGCUCAUCGAAAAAGGGGGGAUGUAGUCGAAUCGGCAGGGCAAAUGCCAAAUAGGCAAUCAAUGUGGUCUGUAAUCAGUGAUUUAUUCGUACCAGUCUCGGGCAAAACAAUUGCAUCGGGCGAUGGCGAUGAACUGAAGCCCUUGAAAGGUGCACAGAAAAUAGACUAUGGCACCAUGAAGCCAUCGGGUCCAAAGCCAAAUAUCAGCAAAAAAAAGUGCUGCCCAAAAUGUGGCUUGAAUAAACGAAAUGAGAACACCUUGCCAAAAGCUUCCUCAACAAUAAAUCGAAAUGGAAUCCACAAGCCCAGCUGUAUCUACCAUACAUCGACAGAUACCAAUUUCAAUAAUUCUAAAACUAGAUACACAAAGAACUUGGACUUAAAAGCUAAAAGAAGACAAAAAUCUGAAUCUAAGCAAAAAAUAUCAACUAUUAGCAUUAUCAAAUCGGAUGAACUUAGAAAUGAUGUCGAACCAAUUGUCAAAUUGGAACGGGCACAAUCCUCUACAAAUUCCACAAAUUUCGAAUCAUGUUUCGGAUAUACAACUCCGAAGGUUAAACUUUCCAAAGAAACUGUAGAGGUGCAGCCUCUUAAGAAUACAAAAACUUUAGAUGGGCAGAAGCAACUUGGAUGUCAGAAAACGAAAUCCUUUGAACGAGUUCAAUAUGCAUGCAGUGAGUUAAUGCUACCCAAAAUGGUGUCCUUCACCAAAAAUGUGACCUGCAAUGGACAGAUUAUAAGACAUUUUCUAAGCCCUGCUAUUACAAAGGAACCUUUGGACAUCUUUGAAUUUCGAACUCCAGAUAUACAAGCAAAUGAAAUGUUCGAUUUUCUAAAGGUUAAAGAUAAUCACAGCGCUGAGUCGGACAACUGGGAAUCAUUUGUUGCAGAGUACGCAAGUUCUCAGCUAACUGAAGAAUCAUCUGAAAAUGGUAUAUUCAGGAAAAUGCAUAAACCAAAAAUAUCAAAGCUUCCUGCUUGGCCAGCUCAUCCAUUCAAGCACAGAAAGCGGCAUAUUAAAUAUAAGCCACUGCAAAUCAGCGAUGAAAAUAUGAUUAUUGAAAGCAAGCCACAAGAAUGCAAUGCUAAGCAGAAAAAAACCCUAAGGAAUCGUAAAAGUGGCAAGAAUAAUGACUUGUGGAUAGCAAAUGAUUUGGUGCAACAGAAAAUCAAUGAAAUGAUGACGAAGCCUAUUAGGCUGCUAACCUUUAAUUAGUCAACGUUAUCAUUGUAGAAAAAUAUACAUAGAAGUAAUAUUCAAUUCAGAAAUAAAAUGUGCACACCAGUGGAAUUAAGGAAAAUGGCAGGAGCACCUCAAGUACAUUAUCGAAAUCCUGCAGCUGCCUUGCUUAGUGGCUGUGCCACCAUAACCUUUUGGCUGAUAUAUUGGAUGGCAUAUUGUCUGAUUUUGUUAGCCGGUGUCGUUGUCGUAUUUGGUUUGGUCCUUCCACGCUAUGCCUGGUAUUUGUUGAAUUAUUUGCUAGGCCAAUAUCAUAUCGAGCGGCAGUUUAGCGACGAGUUAUAGACAGUACAUAUAUAUUUUCUAUCUUAAUCAUAUUUAUAACGGAAUAAAGUCGA
This is an RNA transcript of Drosophila grimshawi, 3144 nucleotides long. RefSeq lists it as uncharacterized. Lineage: Eukaryota; Metazoa; Arthropoda; Insecta; Diptera; Drosophilidae. The record is from RefSeq and is a predicted model, not a curated record. The transcript is spliced from 3 exons.